UCAUACCUUCUCGGCCUUUUGGCUAAGAUCAAGUGUAGUAUCUGUUCUUAUCAGUGUGAAAACUGGUAUCUUCCCUACUGGGA
Molecule: small nuclear RNA, 83 nt
Filed under: Moneuplotes crassus
Lineage: Eukaryota; Ciliophora; Spirotrichea; Euplotida; Euplotidae
Description: U2 snRNA
Rfam family: U2 spliceosomal RNA
About the family: U2 is a small nuclear RNA (snRNA) component of the spliceosome (involved in pre-mRNA splicing). Complementary binding between U2 snRNA (in an area lying towards the 5' end but 3' to hairpin I) and the branchpoint sequence (BPS) of the intron results the bulging out of an unpaired adenosine, on the BPS, which initiates a nucleophilic attack at the intronic 5' splice site, thus starting the first of two transesterification reactions that mediate splicing.
Source: RNAcentral